RNAcentral lists this transfer RNA (76 nucleotides) under Candidatus Bathyarchaeota archaeon. Its description in RNAcentral is "tRNA-Arg". It matches the Rfam family "tRNA". Rfam says of the family: Transfer RNA (tRNA) molecules are approximately 80 nucleotides in length. Their secondary structure includes four short double-helical elements and three loops (D, anti-codon, and T loops). Lineage: Archaea; Thermoproteati; Candidatus Bathyarchaeota. The record is from RNAcentral. RNAcentral also lists the same sequence under 4 other names.
GGGCCCGUCGCCUAACCUGGAUAUGGCGGCAGCCUCCUAAGCUGUAAUAAUCUGGGUUCAAAUCCCAGCGGGCCCG